UACGUAGGGUGCAAGCGUUGUCCGGAAUUAUUGGGCGUAAAGAGCUCGUAGGCGGUCUGUCGCGUCUGCUGUGAAAACCUGGGGCUUAACCCCGGGCCUGCAGUGGGUACGGGCAGACUAGAGUGUGGUAGGGGAGACUGGAAUUCCUGGUGUAGCGGUGAAAUGCGCAGAUAUCAGGAGGAACACCGGUGGCGAAGGCGGGUCUCUGGGCCCGGAUGAUCGACUGA
RNAcentral lists this ribosomal RNA (227 nucleotides) under uncultured bacterium. RNAcentral's name for it is "partial 16S ribosomal RNA". It matches the Rfam family "Bacterial small subunit ribosomal RNA", at positions 524 to 749 of the family's 1533-position model. The record is from RNAcentral.